GAGUGGCGAACGGGUGAGUAAUGUAUCGGAACGUGCCCAGUAGCGGGGGAUAACUACGCGAAAGCGUAGCUAAUACCGCAUACGCCCUACGGGGGAAAGCAGGGGAUCUUCGGACCUUGCACUAUUGGAGCGGCCGAUAUCGGAUUAGCUAGUUGGUGGGGUAACGGCCUACCAAGGCGACGAUCCGUAGCUGGUUUGAGAGGACGACCAGCCACACUGGGACUGAGACACGGCCCAGACUCCUACGGGAGGCAGCAGUGGGGAAUUUUGGACAAUGGGGGAAACCCUGAUCCAGCCAUCCCGCGUGUGCGAUGAAGGCCUUCGGGUUGUAAAGCACUUUUGGCAGGAAAGAAACGUCGCGGGCUAAUACCCCGCGAAACUGACGGUACCUGCAGAAUAAGCACCGGCUAACUACGUGCCAGCAGCCGCGGUAAUACGUAGGGUGCAAGCGUUAAUCGGAAUUACUGGGCGUAAAGCGUGCGCAGGCGGUUCGGAAAGAAAGAUGUGAAAUCCCAGAGCUUAACUUUGGAACUGCAUUUUUAACUACCGGGCUAGAGUGUGUCAGAGGGAGGGUGGAAUUCCGCGUGUAGCAGUGGAAAUGCGUAGAUUAUGGCGGAGGACCACCGAUGGCGAAGGCAGCCUCCU
This 645-nucleotide ribosomal RNA is filed under the name Achromobacter xylosoxidans. RNAcentral describes it as "bacterial SSU rRNA". It matches the Rfam family "Bacterial small subunit ribosomal RNA", at positions 93 to 730 of the family's 1533-position model. Lineage: Bacteria; Pseudomonadati; Pseudomonadota; Betaproteobacteria; Burkholderiales; Alcaligenaceae. The record is from RNAcentral.